This 253-nucleotide ribosomal RNA is filed under the name uncultured bacterium. RNAcentral describes it as "partial 16S ribosomal RNA". It matches the Rfam family "Bacterial small subunit ribosomal RNA", at positions 524 to 776 of the family's 1533-position model. The record is from RNAcentral.
UACGUAGGGGGCAAGCGUUAUCCGGAAUUACUGGGUGUAAAGGGUGAGUAGGCGGCAUGGUAAGUUAGAUGUGAAAGCCCAAGGCUUAACUUUGGGAUUGCAUUUAAAACUACUAAGCUAGAGUACAGGAGAGGUAAGCGGAAUUCCUAGUGUAGCGGUGAAAUGCGUAGAUAUUAGGAAGAACACCGGUGGCGAAGGCGGCUUACUGGACUGAAACUGACGCUGAGGCACGAAAGCGUGGGGAGCAAACAGG